UAACUGCGAGUGAAGCGGGAAAAGCUCAAAUUUAAAAUCUGGCGGUCUUUGGCCGUCCGAGUUGUAGUCUGGAGAAGUGCUUUCCGUGCUGGACCGUGUACAAGUCUCUUGGAACAGAGCGUCAUAGAGGGUGAGAAUCCCGUCUUUGACACGGACUACCAGUGCUUUGUGAUGCGCUCUCAAAGAGUCGAGUUGUUUGGGAAUGCAGCUCAAAAUGGGUGGUAAAUUCCAUCUAAAGCUAAAUAUUGGCGAGAGACCGAUAGCGAACAAGUACCGUGAGGGAAAGAUGAAAAGCACUUUGGAAAGAGAGUUAAACAGUACGUGAAAUUGCUGAAAGGGAAACGCUUGAAGUCAGUCGCGUUCGCCAGGACUCACCCUUGCUUUAGCUUGGUGCAUUUUCUGGUUGACGGGCCAGCAUCGAUUUUGGUUGUCGGAUAAAGGCAGGGGGAAUGUGGCAUCUUCGGAUGUGUUAUAGCCCUCAGUCACAUACGACAGCUGGGAUCGAGGACCGCAGCACGCCUUUAUGGCCGGGGUUCGCCCACGUUCGUGCUUAGGAUGCUGGCAUAAUGGCUUUAAACGAC
This 581-nucleotide ribosomal RNA is filed under the name Antrodia heteromorpha. RNAcentral's name for it is "LSU rRNA". It matches the Rfam family "Eukaryotic large subunit ribosomal RNA", at positions 84 to 648 of the family's 3401-position model. The record is from RNAcentral. Lineage: Eukaryota; Fungi; Basidiomycota; Agaricomycetes; Polyporales; Fomitopsidaceae.